This 1337-nucleotide long non-coding RNA is filed under the name Numida meleagris (helmeted guineafowl). Its description in RNAcentral is "lncRNA (ENSNMEG00000008503.1)". Lineage: Eukaryota; Metazoa; Chordata; Aves; Galliformes; Numididae. The record is from RNAcentral.
CUUGGAUUAACAUUGGAUUACCUUUUAUUGCACCUGACCUCAGCUCUCUGUCUGAUGAUAACUGUGCCUUCCUAUUUUCUCUCAUCAACCCCUACUUCAGUCUGCAUUUGCAGCCACCUUUUUGCAGGUAACCUCUUUUCUGCUGAUGGAGAACUCCUACGCUAUGAACAUUCCCAGAAAUCACGUUGCUGUUGCAUUUUGGCUGAGGAAUGAGGUGGUGAAGGGCAGUCUCCACAUCAGCAUUUGCUUUUUUCUUUCCCAUAGCUGCCAUGCUUCAUUUCAAGGCAUCCUCAUCCAGAUGGGAUGGAGAUGCAGGUACACAGGCUGGAAGUCAUGACCCCUUCCAACCUGGCCCUGGCUUGGUUGUAUGGAUGACCAUAAUGUGAGCUGUGGAUCUUCAACACUCUGCAGCUAGGACAUAGCCACGUGUCCCAAGUUACAGGUUCACACCUAAUUCAGGCUUUCACAUAGGCAUGUAAGCCUGGGACUUUCAAAGACUGAUUUCAAAGACUGAUCGCUUCCUCCCAUUUUAGACUGUCUUAGCAGGGUCCUGCUCAGCACCCUCAAUAUUGUGGGCCCCAUUCUGAGCUGCCAGCUGGCCUUUUUGAGCACAGUGCCAUAGAUGUUCAGCCCAUGUAAGGCUAAGGGCCUUCUAGCUGCAGAUAGGGAGCCUGCCUGUCACUUGCAACUUCACACCCUUUCUCCCAAGCUACUGCUUGAGUUUUUCCAGCUUCUGGGGCAAUAAUUUUCCCCUGCUGUUCUUACACUGCUGUUCUCUUGCUGUUAAUCUCAUGGCCUUGAACUCACAAACCUUAAUACUGUUGUUAUGGUAAGUUCUCAUGGGAAACAAUUGCCACUGGAGUAAGAUUCAUUCCUUCCUCCCAGCCCCUUUCCCUUGCGGGUAGCUUUCUAUUAGGGGAUCCAAAAAUGCACAUACACAAAUCUCAACUACCACUCAGCAUGCAUCACCCACUCUGAACAAAGCAUGGUCCCAACAGUACGGUAAGCUGGAAUCUCUCAAGCACAAAUCUCUUCCAUAGAGAAUGUGAGCAAUUUCUGAUGAAAACUGUUCCAUAAUUAUUGAAAGUUAUAGUGGGAGGACCCUGCUACACUGGAGAGGACACAUAAAUGGACAUCCCAUUGUGUGCCUUCCCAACUGACCACUCAGAGAAUUUUCCCUUUCCCUUCUCUCCCUGCUUCAAUGCUCAUGCCUUGCUGUCUCUGAUAGGCCAAUAGCAGCAAAUGCUGCUUGAUAAGAUGAUUGCAAACAUGGCACACUAAGUCACGAUGUGGUUAUGACUAGAGCUGAGAAAACUCUAACAUCUUAGCAGUGUUUU